GGUGAGAUGGCCGAGUGGUUUAAGGCGCACCCCUGCUAAGGGUGUAUGUAGUUUCUGCAUCGAGGGUUCGAAUCUCUCUCUCACCG
RNAcentral lists this transfer RNA (86 nucleotides) under Enterobacteriaceae endosymbiont of Donacia fulgens. RNAcentral's name for it is "tRNA-Ser". It matches the Rfam family "tRNA". Rfam says of the family: Transfer RNA (tRNA) molecules are approximately 80 nucleotides in length. The record is from RNAcentral. Lineage: Bacteria; Pseudomonadati; Pseudomonadota; Gammaproteobacteria; Enterobacterales; Enterobacteriaceae. RNAcentral also lists the same sequence under 1 other name.